GAAUUAUCCGCAACGGGGCACCUGACGGGAGCAACGCCGCGUGGGGGAUGACGGCCUUUCGGGGCGGUAACCCUUUUUUUUUCGGGAGAGAUCUGACGGUACCGGAGGAAGAAGGACCGGCUAAUUACGUGCCAGCAGCAGCGGUAAUUACGUAGGGUCCGAGCGUUGUCCGGAGUUACUGGGCGUAAAGCGCGCGCAGGCGGCGGUGCUGGCCCGGCGUGAAAGCCCCCGGCUCAACCCGGGGAGGGUCGUCGGGGACCGCACCGCUUGAGGGCGGUAGGGGCUGGUGGAAUGCCUGGUGUAGUGGUGAAAUGCGUAGAGAUCAGGCGGAACACCCGUGGCGAAGGCGGCCAGUUGGGCCGUCCAUGACGCUGAGGCGCGAAGGCGUGGGGAGCGAACGGGAUUAGAUACCCCGGUAGUCCACGCAGUAAACGAUGCAGACUAGGCGUGGGGGGAGUUGACCCCCUCCGUGCCGGAGCCAACGCGGGAAGUCUGCCGCCUGGGGAGUACGGCCGCAAGGCUAAAACUCAAACGAAUUGACGGGGGCCCGCACAAGCGGCGGAGCGUGCGGUUUAAUUUGACGCGACGUGUAGAACCUUACCAAGGCUUGACAUGCGCCUGCAUCCUCUUGAAAGGGAGUGGCAUUCGAGGGUGGCGCACAGGUGCUGCAUGGCUGUCGUCAGCUCGUGCCGUGAGGUGUUGGGUUAAGUCCCGCAUCGAGCGCAACCCCUGUGGGUAGUUAGCUGAUUUACCCAGACUGCCGGUCGCAAACCGGAGGAAGGUGGGGAUGACGUCAAGUCAGCAUGGCCCCUAUGUCUUGGGCGACACGCACGUUACAAUGGCCGGGACACCGGGUAGCCAAGCCGCGAGGCGGAGCGAAUCCCCCAAACCCGGUCUCAGUUUGGAUCGUGGGCUGCAACCCGCCCACGCGAAGCUCGAGUCGCUAGUAACCGCGGGUCAGCACUACCGCCGUGAAUACGUUCCCGG
Molecule: ribosomal RNA, 987 nt
Filed under: uncultured bacterium
Lineage: Bacteria
Description: bacterial SSU rRNA
Rfam family: Bacterial small subunit ribosomal RNA
Source: RNAcentral